UUCCGUAUGUGAACCUGCGGAAGGAUCAUUCACACGAAUUAUCCAAAUCCACGUGCAUCUUCGAGUGAGGGUCGCAGAAGGGCUGGAAACGGCCAUCUGUGUUCUCUCGAGGCUGGUUGGGGCAGCUUGGGGCCAGCUUGCUGGCAUCCUCUCUGUCUCGGCCAGCACCCAUACCUCAAACACCUGUAUCAUUCCAGUGUUGUCGGUGUCUUCUGACGCCACAUUCAACCUUACAACUUUUAGCGAUGGAUGCCUCGGCUCGAACAACGAUGAAGGGCGCAGCGAAAUGCGAUAAGCACUGUGAAUUGCAGAAUUCCGUGAAUCAAUAGAACCCUGAACGCAUCCUGCGCUUUCGGGAUAUCCCUGAAAGCAUGUCUGCUUCAGAGUCUCCACUGUAUCCUGCAGCAUUGGCCUGGAGCCUGGCUGCGUCUCUGCGCGUCAGAGCGCGCCCCUGCCCUCGUGGCUCGCGGCGACUCUGACGUGUUUAAUGCAUCGACCUGCCUUGAGAGCGCCAACUUGGUGAUCGCCCUUGCGGUGUUUCGUCUCUUUGUUCGCCUCAACGGUUUCUGUGUCGUCUCUCCUUUGCUGUCCUCGCGGCAGUGAACCAAGACAUGAAGUUAGGCAAGGUUACCCGCUGAAAUUAAGCAUAUC
RNAcentral lists this ribosomal RNA (651 nucleotides) under uncultured eukaryote. Its description in RNAcentral is "eukaryotic LSU rRNA". The stretch from base 235 to 389 matches the Rfam family "5.8S ribosomal RNA". The record is from RNAcentral.